GAUGAACGCUGGCGGCGUGCUUAACACAUGCAAGUCGAACGAAGCGCUUUAGUUGAUUUCUUCGGAUUGAUUCUAAAGUGACUUAGUGGCGGACGGGUGAGUAACGCGUGGGUAACCUGCCUCGUACAGGGGGAUAACAGUUAGAAAUGACUGCUAAUACCGCAUAACCCGCUAAGGUCGCAUGACCUGGACGGAAAAGAUUUAUCGGUACGAGAUGGACCCGCGUCUGAUUAGCUAGUUGGUGAGGUAACGGCCCACCAAGGCGACGAUCAGUAGCCGGCCUGAGAGGGUGAACGGCCACAUUGGGACCGAGACACGGCCCAAACUCCUACGGGAGGCAGCAGUGGGGAAUAUUGGGCAAUGGGCGAAAGCCUGACCCAGCAACGCCGCGUGAAGGAAGAAGGUCUUCGGAUCGUAAACUUCUGUCCUAAGUGAAGAGAAGAAGACGGUAGCUUAGGAGGAAGCCCCGGCUAACUACGUG
This 481-nucleotide ribosomal RNA is filed under the name uncultured bacterium. RNAcentral's name for it is "bacterial SSU rRNA". It matches the Rfam family "Bacterial small subunit ribosomal RNA", at positions 28 to 507 of the family's 1533-position model. The record is from RNAcentral.